This 476-nucleotide long non-coding RNA is filed under the name Taeniopygia guttata (zebra finch). Its description in RNAcentral is "lncRNA (ENSTGUG00000026317.1)". Lineage: Eukaryota; Metazoa; Chordata; Aves; Passeriformes; Estrildidae. The record is from RNAcentral.
GGGAGGAGGAGGAGGAGGAGGAGGCACGAAGGCGGGAGAGGCAGCCCAGCCUCCUGGUGCCUGCAGCCCUGGGCUGUGCCUCUGGAGUCCGGCGCCGCUGGUGAACUUUGCGGCAUACUGGAUCUCUUUGGACCCUUUUACUCAAGGAAGACAUCAGACUAAGUGGAAGCCCCCUGUAGCUGAUAUCCAGAACCUGAAAACUUUCUCUUGAGAAGAUCUUUGUAGGUUGUCACAGUGGUAUAUGGAGUACACUCUUCAAACACAUCUACAGAUAAAGACAAAAAUGAAACAAGAAAAAAACCAGAAGAUAAUAUCUUCAUCCUUCCCCUGCUGUCAAGUACUACAACAUUGAAAUCUGCUGACAGGCAGACGACUUUAAAAGACUAAACUAUAUACAGAUAUUUGUACGUGAUGAUUUUCAAGGCUGAAAAACACUCCAGGUUUUAUGUAACCAGAUUUGACAAUUGAAGUUGUAC